CCCAAUGCUUUGAUACACACAGUAGAACUGUUCAUUUUUAAUUAUUACUUCGUGGAACUAAACCCUGUCAUUUUUCCUUAUGUCGAGCAGAUCCAUUCAAAAGAGCUGAGAAUGGGAUGGAGGUGGAAUUGAUCUCAGAGACAGAGCAGGAGCAGAGCAAUUCCCAAACUUGGGUGCUACAAAAGUAGCUGGAUUUGGGGAUUCAAGCAGAUGCAAAAAUCCAGGGUUGGCCAGAUCAAGGGUUCAGCUUGAGAGGUGUGGAAUUCAGAGCUGGAUCCCUGCAGCAGCUCUGGGGCAGGGAUUCUGCUCCUCUGCCCCUGAGCUGCCUUUUGACUCAUCUCAGCCUUGGCAAGAAACUCCCAUUUGAGCCUUUGGCUCUCCUUCCUUCCAAGGGGGAAUAUUUAGGUCAGUACAGACACCUGAGUUCCCCAGUCCUCGAGGAACCAACAGGAUCGUGGGGACCUCGGAUUGGAGCUGCAGGUGCUUCCAUCUGGACAUUUGGACACGUGGGACAGAAAUGGGGGAGCUGCUGGGUGAGACGGGCACUCAGAGUCCUCAAGAAAACAGGUGAGGGCUGCUGGCUGCUGCAGAAAGGGACCUCAGUGCCCUGGGUGUGGUCCCAGCCUGGCUGGCAAAUUGCUCCUGCCUGGGGCAGCCCCAUGCAGACAGGGCUGCACAACAAAGGAGCUGGGAGGGUUUGUGUUCAGCACUAAAACCCUUCCUGGCAGCAGCAGAAAGGCUGGAACCCAGCUCUGGAGAGCUCUGCUCGAGUCCUGGCCGCUGCAGC
This 787-nucleotide long non-coding RNA is filed under the name Ficedula albicollis (Collared flycatcher). Its description in RNAcentral is "lncRNA (ENSFALG00000026984.1)". The record is from RNAcentral. Lineage: Eukaryota; Metazoa; Chordata; Aves; Passeriformes; Muscicapidae.